Molecule: ribosomal RNA, 440 nt
Filed under: uncultured bacterium
Lineage: Bacteria
Description: partial 16S ribosomal RNA
Rfam family: Bacterial small subunit ribosomal RNA
Source: RNAcentral
ACUACGGGAGGCAGCAGUGGGGAAUAUUGCACAAUGGGGGAAACCCUGAUGCAGCGACGCCGCGUGAGUGAGGAAGUAUUUCGGUAUGUAAAGCUCUAUCAGCAGGGAAGAAAAUGACGGUACCUGACUAAGAAGCCCCGGCUAACUACGUGCCAGCAGCCGCGGUAAUACGUAGGGGGCAAGCGUUAUCCGGAUUUACUGGGUGUAAAGGGAGCGUAGACGGAAUAGCAAGUCUGAUGUGAAAACCCGGGGCUCAACUCCGGGAGUGCAUUGGAAACUGUUGAUCUAGAGUGUCGGAGAGGCAAGCGGAAUUCCUAGUGUAGCGGUGAAAUGCGUAGAUAUUAGGAGGAACACCAGUGGCGAAGGCGGCUUGUUGGACGAUGACUGACGUUGAGGCUCGAAAGCGUGGGGAGCAAACAGGAUUAGAUACCCCAGUAGUC